CCACACCUAAAAACUUUCCACGUGAACCGUUAUAACUAUGUUCUGUGUCUCGUCUUGUCAAAAGAUUUGAGGCUGAACGAAGGUGAGUCUGUGUCGAUUUUUUUUGAUGCGGAUUUGCUGAUGUUMUUUUAAACACCUAUUACUUUAUACUGAACUAUACUCCGAAUACGAAAGUUUUUGGUUUUAACAAUUAACAACUUUCAGCAGUGGAUGUCUAGGCUCGCACAUCGAUGAAGAACGCUGCGAACUGCGAUACGUAAUGCGAAUUGCAGAAUUCAGUGAGUCAUCGAAAUUUUGAACGCAUAUUGCACUUUCGGGUUAUGCCUGGAAGUAUGCCUGUAUCAGUGUCCGUACAUCAAACUUGCCUUUCUUUUUUUGUGUAGUCAAAAUUGGAGAUGGCAGAAUGUGAGGUGUCUCGCGCUGUCUUUUUCAGAUGGUUCGAGUCCCUUUAAAUGUACGUUGAUUCUUUCUUGUGUCUGCGAAUUGCGACGCUAUGCUCUUUGUGAUCGGUUUAGAUUGCUUUGCGCUGGUGGGCGACUUCGGUUAGGACAUAUGGAAGCAACCUCAAUUGGCGGUAUGUUCGGCUUUGCCUGACGUUAAGCUAAGCGAGUGUGGUUUUCUGUUCUUUCCUUGAGGUGUACCUGUCGUGUGUGAGGUCGGUUUGAGCUAUAUGGUUGCUUUGUUGUGUGGUGUAGCGUUUUCAGACGCCUGCUUCGGUAGGUAAAGGAGACAACACCGAUUUGGGACGGAGAGUAGUUUACUCUCUUUUUCACUUUGGACCUGAUAUCAGGUAAGACUACCCGCUGA
RNAcentral lists this ribosomal RNA (807 nucleotides) under Pythium acanthicum. RNAcentral describes it as "eukaryotic LSU rRNA". The stretch from base 196 to 350 matches the Rfam family "5.8S ribosomal RNA". The record is from RNAcentral. Lineage: Eukaryota; Oomycota; Peronosporomycetes; Pythiales; Pythiaceae.